RNAcentral lists this ribosomal RNA (497 nucleotides) under uncultured bacterium. Its description in RNAcentral is "partial 16S ribosomal RNA". It matches the Rfam family "Bacterial small subunit ribosomal RNA", at positions 28 to 507 of the family's 1533-position model. The record is from RNAcentral.
GAUGAACGCUGGCGGCGUGCCUAAUACAUGCAAGUCGAGCGAACAGACGAGGAGCUUGCUCCUCUGACGUUAGCGGCGGACGGGUGAGUAACACGUGGAUAACCUACCUAUAAGACUGGGAUAACUUCGGGAAACCGGAGCUAAUACCGGAUAAUAUAUUGAACCGCAUGGUUCAAUAGUGAAAGACGGUUUUGCUGUCACUUAUAGAUGGAUCCGCGCCGCAUUAGCUAGUUGGUAAGGUAACGGCUUACCAAGGCGACGAUGCGUAGCCGACCUGAGAGGGUGAUCGGCCACACUGGAACUGAGACACGGUCCAGACUCCUACGGGAGGCAGCAGUAGGGAAUCUUCCGCAAUGGGCGAAAGCCUGACGGAGCAACGCCGCGUGAGUGAUGAAGGUCUUCGGAUCGUAAAACUCUGUUAUUAGGGAAGAACAAAUGUGUAAGUAACUAUGCACGUCUUGACGGCACCUAAUCAGAAAGCCACGGCCAACUACGUG